GCAGUUGUGGUCUAGUGGAUAAGAUGAUUGACUGGAGAUAAAAAAGGUCGCUGGUUCAGUCCCCAGCUCCA
This is a non-coding RNA of Danionella cerebrum, 71 nucleotides long. Lineage: Eukaryota; Metazoa; Chordata; Actinopteri; Cypriniformes; Danionidae. The record is from the annotation of a GenBank genome assembly.